Molecule: ribosomal RNA, 468 nt
Filed under: uncultured bacterium
Lineage: Bacteria
Description: partial 16S ribosomal RNA
Rfam family: Bacterial small subunit ribosomal RNA
Source: RNAcentral
GACGAACGCUGGCGGUGUGCUUAACACAUGCAAGUCGAACGGUAAGGCCCUUUCGGGGGUACACGAGUGGCGGACGGGUGAGUAACACGUGAGUAACCUGCCCUCAUCUCUGGGAUAACAGUCGGAAACGGUUGCUAAUACUGGAUAUGAGCUUGCAAGGCAUCUUGUGGGUUGGAAAGAUUUUUUUUGGUUGGGGAUGGGCUCGCGGCCUAUCAGCUUGUUGGUGAGGUAGUGGCUCACCAAGGCUUCGACGGGUAGCCGGCCUGAGAGGGCGACCGGCCACAUUGGGACUGAGAUACGGCCCAAACUCCUACGGGAGGCAGCAGUGGGGAAUAUUGCACAAUGGACGGAAGUCUGAUGCAGCAACGCCGCGUGCGGGAUGACGGCCUUCGGGUUGUAAACCGCUUUCAAUUGUGACGAAGCUUUUUUGUGACGGUAGCAGUAGAAGAAGCACCGGCUAACUACGUG